GCUUUUAAAGGAUAAUAGUUUAUCUAUUGGUCUUAGGAACCAAAGACUCUUGGUGCAAAUCCAAGUAAAAGCU
This 73-nucleotide transfer RNA is filed under the name Enteromius jae (Jae barb). Its description in RNAcentral is "tRNA-Leu". Lineage: Eukaryota; Metazoa; Chordata; Actinopteri; Cypriniformes; Cyprinidae. The record is from RNAcentral.